CCUUCUUUCAUACUUAUUGGUAUGAUCUUGACGGAGAGAUUCCGCCAAUGCGCAAAGCCUCUCCCCAGCCCCCGAUUAUGUUCUGUCUUUGAGACCGGACGCAUAGACGGCCGCGCUGCCAUUGUCCUGAGGAUGGCGUUUCCCGGGUCCUCCUGUAGAGGGCAGCACAGCCCAAACAUACACACAUGGAACAGGCUUUUCUCGCGGAAGCAUUUUUUUUUUUUUUGCCUCUGUCAUUCUAACAUGGAAAAAGUUUGUUAUGUUUGAAUAUACAGUUUUGCACAUUUUGUGAGUUUAUUUCGUGUAGUAAAUCGUAGUGAUUUUGCAUCUAAACGCAAGUGGAAGCCAGGCCGUUUUUGCCGGUUACAGAGGGCCUGGGGCCUGUUCCAGGAAAAACAGAGCAGAGAGAAGGGGACUGUUACAGCCGGGCAUGAUGGACGACGAUCUAAAACUCAAAGAAACCCAGUGAAAUAACACCGGCUAGAAACAGGGUAUUCAACAGAGAACAACUAAAGGCUAAAAUGAAGAACACAGAUAACAGCAGCUGCUGGCUCAUGCAGACUUGAUCUGCUCCAGCUGCCGUGGACCUGUGCUUUCUAACCCACACACCGUAACUCUCAGCUAGCACAGCUCCAUCUGUCACUGCACUGGUGAGACGGUCAUCUUUUUGGGAACCAUUCUGCUGUUGUCACUGGAGAGAGAGCUUCCCAUACGUCCCGUUUGCUUGGCUUAAACAUGAGGCAAUUGGGUCAUCAUUGGUAUGUGUUUUGUCGCAGUUAAAAUGGGUCACGCCCCCAAAACAGCUGGCAUCGGCAGCCUCUUCAUGGAAUUGAUUAAUAUGGACAAAGAAGACUUUGUUUUAUUCUCUACUGAGCUCAAUGAACUGGGGGCGGGGCCAACUCGCAGUCGACGAAUGGGGCAGAGGCGGGAGGUCCGGAGAGUCGGCAGGGCUCCUCCUAGAACUUACGGCACGUAACAGAACUUGAGUCAUUUUAUGUGAAAACUUUGUCUACUCAAUAACAACCACAGUUCAUUUGAAUAACACUCCAGAACAAUGAGUUCUGAUCCAUUUGCCUUCCACUUGCUGAUCAAGUACAGGAUCAUUUGCGACCUGGAGACUUUUCCAGACACCAUAAGGCACCAAAUCAGGAAAAACACACUUUGCAUGGCAUGCUAGUCUAUCAUGGGGUACACAAUAUGGGUAAUUUAGAGACUAGAUUGCCCAACUGCAGGAGGAAACCAUGAAGCAAGUAAGACAUUCAAAUCUUAAGACACACAAAAGGGUUGGGUUAAGAGGCAAAAAUUCAGACCACUAAACCACUGUGCGACCCAUCUUCCAUAAAUGAUUGAAGAAACUUCAGAAUACAACUCAUUAUUAUGCAUGGGCUAUCUAAAAAUAUGAUUUUUAGGUUUGUAUGCAUUAAAAAAGCCAGGCAAAUUUCUUGAACAUCCCUGGAUAUGCAUGUCUCUCAUGGUUGCUGUGUUUUAUGGAAAGACCACAUCUCAGUGCCUUAGGUACAGUGGCAAGCAUGAAACUGUCCUAAUGUACAACCACUACACAAAUGCUCUUUGAAAAUGACCAAACCAACAGGUAAAAUGAUUUCAAGAUUCAUCAGUCCACUCAAAAAAGGAAAGAAGGUGACAAUCAACUGGCAGUUUGGAUACAGAGGGAUUUCUUAAUAAACAGAACUAAGCAGAAGAGGUGAAACCACAAAAUAACACUGCAAGGGAGCAGGACUAGGAACAGCGCAAAGUAGCAAACACACAGGAACAUAGAUACAAUGACUAACUAGAGGAAAGUGCGGUGCAAGAACUUAAAUGCACACAACAAAUUGAGCUAACAAGAGAGCAGGAGUGAGACAUGACAACCAAUCAACAAGGGCAGAAGGCAACACAGCACAGGUCAAGAAACUGACACUAAUGAACACAGAACUAAGGCACUUACAAGACCUGAAACUGAGGAAACACAAGGAAAUACUACACUGGGAAUAUGAACAGGAAAACAAUGUACAAAAAUCAAACCAAAACAGGACACAAGAAGGGCAAACCUAUAACAGGAAACUCAAAAGGAGUUAUAAAACACUGGGGAACAGAAUUUCCAAUAUAAAGACAGACUCAUUAGCCAGCUUCAAACCCAUGACAAGGGGAAUGCAAUCUUACAGCCACACACUCAACCUACUGAGCCAUGCAGCAAUCUAGGGCACAAAGUAAACACGCAAGGGUUAGACAUGGAGUGUAAAGGCGGGAUGGCCAGCAACACCUGCUGGCCAAAUGGGGUAAAGACAUGAAGGUCUGGGGUGGAUGAGUGCUUACCCUGACAUCCAUUCAUCCAUCUAUCCAUUCCCACCCUGAUUGAUUCUAAGUAGUAAACAGAAACUACAUAGAUAAUUUGUUCAUAAUCAUGUUGAUGCCAUUUUCACUCAUAAACAUUAAGGUCGAUAAUGGUGAUGUCAGAUCCAGAGGGGAAAUAUGUCUUUAACAACUGGAAUAAUGUAAUGUCCUUGCAUUUUCAGAAAUGUCUUUGUCAGAAGGCAAUGAAGACCGACUCACUCUGAAAGACAAGUGAUCAUACAUGCUUUGCUUUCUACCAGUUAUCUGCACUGUAUGCUUUAUGAAUGGUUCCAGUGUACAGCUGAACAUCGUCCCUGGAUUUAGGGCCCACAUUCGGCAUUAGGUUGGAGUCUCUGUCUUUUAUGGAAAUGGUCGGUGGAAACAGAGGUUUUUACAGCAGUGCCAGAUGGCAACCCUAACCAGAGAAGCAGCUUCCAGCCACUGCGUAAUAACUGCUGAUGAAAGAGUUACCAUUAUUUUGUGGUGCUGUCACAGCAGACGAUGACUCCUCUCUCUGAACAUUAUAUCACCACUGCCAUCAUCAUCAUGAGAGAAGGAAGGAUGUUUUUAAAGGAACAUUAAUCGGAUUUUCCAUCCUGCUUCGUGGGAACACACUGUCCGAUGCUUUAUUGUUCUGGAGAUGUUUAUUAUAGCUCUGGAGGUUUGGAAUGAGUUGUAUAAUACAUCUUUCCCCAAAACCAAGAAGAAGAUCACAGCUAUGGAUCUCACCAGGAUGCUAUUGAGGAAUCUGCAACCUGAUUAAUCAAGUUGAAUAAUUGGGAUGUGGUCCACUGAGCUCUGGGCC
Molecule: non-coding RNA, 3136 nt
Organism: Paramormyrops kingsleyae
Lineage: Eukaryota; Metazoa; Chordata; Actinopteri; Osteoglossiformes; Mormyridae
Source: RefSeq, a predicted model, not a curated record